Molecule: ribosomal RNA, 446 nt
Filed under: uncultured prokaryote
Description: bacterial SSU rRNA
Rfam family: Bacterial small subunit ribosomal RNA
Source: RNAcentral
UCGAGAAUCUUCCGCAAUGGGCGCAAGCCUGACGGAGCGACGCCGCGUGCGGGAUGAAGGCCUUCGGGUUGUAAGCCGCUGUCAGAGAGGCGGAAAUGCAUGUGGGCAAUCCCAUGUGUUUGACCUAAUCUCAGAGGAAGCGCAGGCUAAGUUCGUGCCAGCAGCCGCGGUAACACGAACUGCGCGAACGUUAUUCGGAAUCACUGGGCUUAAAGAGUCCGUAGGCGGCUUGGAAGGUGGGGUGUGAAAUCCCACAGCUCAACUGUGGAACUGCGCUCCAAACCGUCAGGCUAGAGGGAGCCAGGGGUGAGCGGAACAGAUGGUGGAGCGGUGAAAUGCGUUGAUAUCAUCUGGAACACCGGUGGCGAAGGCGGCUCACUGGGGCUCUUCUGACGCUGAGGGACGAAAGCUAGGGGAGCGAACGGGAUUAGAUACCCGCGUAGUCC